GAUGAAGAACGCAGCGAAAUGCGAUAAGUAGUGUGAAUUACAGAAUUCAGUGAAUCAUCGAAUCUUUGAACGCACAUUGCGCCCUUUGGUAUUCCUUAGGGCAUGCCUGUUCGAGCGUCAUUUAAACCUUCAAGCUAAGCUUGGUGUUGGGUGACUGUCCGCUUCACGGCGGACUCGCCUCAAAAUUAUUGGCGGCCGGUACAUUGGCUUCGAGCGCAGCAGAAACGCGAACUCGGGCCCGUCGUAUUGGCUCCCAGAAGCUAUCUUCACAAUUUUGACCUCGGAUCAGGUAGGGAUACCCGCUGAACUUAAGCAUAUCAAUAAGCGGAGGA
This 332-nucleotide unclassified non-coding RNA is filed under the name soil metagenome. Its description in RNAcentral is "partial contains 5.8S ribosomal RNA, internal transcribed spacer 2, and large subunit ribosomal RNA". The stretch from base 1 to 120 matches the Rfam family "5.8S ribosomal RNA", at positions 35 to 154 of the family's 154-position model. The record is from RNAcentral.